UACGGAGGGAGCUAGCGUUGUUCGGAAUUACUGGGCGUAAAGCGCGCGUAGGCGGCUUUGUAAGUUAGAGGUGAAAGCCCGGGGCUCAACCCCGGAACUGCCCUUAAAACUGCAUCGCUUGAAUCCAGGAGAGGUGAGUGGAAUUCCGAGUGUAGAGGUGAAAUUCGUAGAUAUUCGGAAGAACACCAGUGGCGAAGGCGGCUCACUGGACUGGUAUUGACGCUGAGGUGCGAAAGCGUGGGGAGCAAACAGG
RNAcentral lists this ribosomal RNA (253 nucleotides) under uncultured bacterium. RNAcentral describes it as "partial 16S ribosomal RNA". It matches the Rfam family "Bacterial small subunit ribosomal RNA", at positions 524 to 776 of the family's 1533-position model. The record is from RNAcentral.